Long non-coding RNA from Felis catus (domestic cat), 1148 nucleotides. RefSeq lists it as uncharacterized. NCBI's taxonomy places the organism in Eukaryota, Metazoa, Chordata, Mammalia, Carnivora, Felidae. The record is from RefSeq and is a predicted model, not a curated record. The transcript is spliced from 2 exons.
AAAAAAAAAAAAAGUCUGAUUUUUCAUUUAUUCAUUCUGAAAUACUGAACACUUACUAUAUACCAGGCUCUCGGGUUGAUUCUGCGGAUACAGGGAUGAAACAGGCACGAUCCACUUUAGUAAAGAAAUGGAAAGUAUAUAGCCAAUGGCCACUCCUUCCUUUUUAUCCACGAUGUAUCAGAGAUAAUAGAUAAUCUCCAGCUGAGCCCAGCAUUUCUAUAGUAGCCUUCUCCAAGUACUUCUAGGCAGCUAAUGAGAUUAAUCAGUAACUGGUAAGACAAGCUCAUCUGCUCUCCCCAGUAGGAGAGACUCCUGCAGAAACAAAGAACUGCACAGAAUUGAAAUUGGUCUUCCUUCUGUAAGUGCUUUGGUGGAAUCUGCCUUGGCCAUUUGCCCCUACACAUUCCACCCUCUGCUCCCCACCAUUUAGUUUUUAGUUACUGUAUGAGCCCAGAAAAAUAGAUCCUUAAUUUUUUUUUCUGUUACAGUAGAUUUUUUGAGCUGUGUAAGGACCUUUUUAAUUCAUUUUCUGUCAACAGGACAUAUGAUGAAAUUCCAUGAUAAUCAGCCUGACUUCUCAGCAUUCACCACCAGCCCUUUAAUUCCAUCCUCACUGAAUCCUGGCAAAGUCUUCUGAGUGUACAGAGCUUUGAGCAGGUCUUAGAGCAGCCAGCCAGCAAGGUUCCUGUACUCCAAAUGACAUCAUAGGUCUCAUCUCUUUGUCUUUCCUUUCACAAGUUGUUCUGGGACUCUUCAGCUCUAGAGAAAGAGAUCCUGAAAAUUGUCCCCUACUUUUUCUUUCCUGGGGAGGGCUUCUUUGGAAAGGAGGGAUGGGGGAUGAGAGAACUUUGCAGGUAAUCGAAAAAUGAAUGGAGAGUGAAAUUAAAGGGCUGAUGUCCAGAGAGGCUUAAAAUUUACUCUGUCAUCAAAGAGAUGGUCUAUACUUAUCUGAGAGGAUUACGUAAAUACUGCACGUCAAGUGUUGAUUAUUGAGGGCCUGGCACAUGGUUGUUCUUGCUGUAUUAUAGGGUGUUUAUAGAGCAUCAAAUGUGUUAUGAUUUUUUUUUUAACGGCUGAGGAUAUAAAGACUAAUUGAUAUAGCUCUUGUCCUAGGGAUUUGCAGUUUAGCAAGAUCUGCAAGCCAAAAA